This 253-nucleotide ribosomal RNA is filed under the name uncultured organism. RNAcentral describes it as "partial 16S ribosomal RNA". It matches the Rfam family "Bacterial small subunit ribosomal RNA", at positions 524 to 776 of the family's 1533-position model. The record is from RNAcentral.
UACGUAGGGUGCGAGCGUUAAUCGGAAUUACUGGGCGUAAAGGGUGCGCAGGCGGAAAUAUAAGUUAGAUGUGAAAUACCCGAGCUUAACUUGGGAAUGGCAUUUAAGACUGUAUAUCUAGAGUUUAUCAGAGGGGGGUAGAAUUCCAAGUGUAGCAGUGAAAUGCGUAGAGAUUUGGAGGAAUACCAGUGGCGAAGGCGACCCCCUGGGAAAUAACUGACGCUCAUGCACGAAAGCGUGGGAAGCAAACAGG